AGCGAACGCUGGCGGCAGGCUUAACGCAUGCAAGUCGAGCGGGCACUUUCGGGUGUCAGCGGCGGACGGGUGAGUAACGCGUGGGAACGUGCCCUCUGGUUCGGAAUAACUCAGGGAAACUUGAGCUAAUACCGGAUACGCCCUUUUGGGGAAAGGCUUGCUGCCGGAGGAUCGGCCCGCGUCUGAUUAGCUAGUUGGUGAGGUAACGGCUCACCAAGGCGACGAUCAGUAGCUGGUCUGAGAGGAUGAUCAGCCACACUGGGACUGAGACACGGCCCAGACUCCUACGGGAAGCAGCAGUGGGGAAUAUUGGACAAUGGGCGCAAGCCUGAUCCAGCCAUGCCGCGUGAGUGAUGAAGGCCUUAGGGUUGUAAAGCUCUUUUAUCCGGGACGAUAAUGACGGUACCGGAGGAAUAAGCCCCGGCUAACUUCGUG
This 435-nucleotide ribosomal RNA is filed under the name uncultured bacterium. RNAcentral describes it as "partial 16S ribosomal RNA". It matches the Rfam family "Bacterial small subunit ribosomal RNA", at positions 29 to 507 of the family's 1533-position model. The record is from RNAcentral.